GACGAACGCUGGCGGCGUGCUUAACACAUGCAAGUCGAACGAUGAAGAAGAGAAACGCGAACUUCGGUUCAUAUUUCACUUCGGAUUAGUGGCAGACGGGUGAGUAACGCGUGAGCAACCUACCUCUUACAAAGGGAUAGCCUCGGGAAACCGUGAUUAAUACCAUAUGACACAUUCAUAAGGCAUCUUAAGAAUGUUAAAGCUACGGCGGUAAGAGAUGGGCUCGCGUCCCAUUAGCUAGUUGGUGAGGUAACGGCCCACCAAGGCGACGAUGGGUAACCGGACUGAGAGGGUGAACGGUCACAUUGGAACUGAGACACGGUCCAAACUCCUACGGGGGGCAGCAGUGGGGAAUAUUGCACAAUGGAGGGAACUCUGAUGCAGCGACGCCGCGUGAGCGAUGAAGGAAUUCGUUUCGUAAAGCUCUGUUCUAUGGGAAGAAAAGGACUGUACCAUAGGAGAAAGCCCCGGCUAAAUACGUG
RNAcentral lists this ribosomal RNA (482 nucleotides) under uncultured bacterium. RNAcentral describes it as "partial 16S ribosomal RNA". It matches the Rfam family "Bacterial small subunit ribosomal RNA", at positions 28 to 507 of the family's 1533-position model. The record is from RNAcentral.